Non-coding RNA from Ictidomys tridecemlineatus (thirteen-lined ground squirrel), 72 nucleotides. NCBI's taxonomy places the organism in Eukaryota, Metazoa, Chordata, Mammalia, Rodentia, Sciuridae. The record is from Rfam.
UGGACUGUAGCUCAGUGGUGGAGUGCUUGCCUCCCAGGUGAGAGGCCCUGGGUUCGAUACUCAGCACCACAU